Cherax quadricarinatus is the source of this 299-nucleotide non-coding RNA. The record is from RefSeq and is a predicted model, not a curated record. NCBI's taxonomy places the organism in Eukaryota, Metazoa, Arthropoda, Malacostraca, Decapoda, Parastacidae.
CCCAAGGUAACCCAAAGAAAGUCAGUCUGUCAUCGAGGGACUGUCUGUCUUAUUUCCAUUGUGGUCCUUUAAUCUUGGCCUCCAGGAUGCCACCCACACCAGUCCACUAUCACCCAGAUGAGCGACCAGUGGCCGACAUUUGGACUCCCGAGGAGGGCCAGCACUCUGACUGAUAGAGACUUUUUGCCGAUUUUCUCGGCAAACUAGGCAACAUGUCAAUCAAAAAGUCUUCUCUUUGUGAGGGCCAGAUUUUCUCAUUUACUUGCAUCCAGAGAACAAGUAUCGUCUGACCAUACCAU